Molecule: ribosomal RNA, 465 nt
Filed under: uncultured bacterium
Lineage: Bacteria
Description: partial 16S ribosomal RNA
Rfam family: Bacterial small subunit ribosomal RNA
Source: RNAcentral
GACGAACGCUGGCGGCGUGCUUAACACAUGCAAGUCGAACGGAAAGGCCCUGCUUGCAGGGUACUCGAGUGGCGAACGGGUGAGUAACACGUGGGUGAUCUGCCCUGCACUUCGGGAUAAGCCUGGGAAACUGGGUCUAAUACCGGAUAGGAGCCAUUUUUAGUGUGAUGGUUGGAAAGUUUUUUCGGUGUAGGAUGAGCUCGCGGCCUAUCAGCUUGUUGGUGGGGUAAUGGCCUACCAAGGCGGCGACGGGUAGCCGGCCUGAGAGGGUGGACGGCCACAUUGGGACUGAGAUACAGCCCAGACUCCUACGGGAGGCAGCAGUGGGGAAUAUUGCACAAUGGGCGCAAGCCUGAUGCAGCGACGCCGCGUGGGGGAGGACGGCCUUCGGGUUGUAAACUCCUUUCGCUAGGGACGAAGCUUUUUGUGACGGUACCUAGAUAAGAAGCACCGGCUAACUACGUG